CACGUAGUUAGCCGGGGCUUCUUAGUUAGGUACCGUCAUUCUCUUCCCUGCUGAUAGAGCUUUACAUACCGAAAUACUUCUUCACUCACGCGGCGUUGCUGCGUCAGGGUUUCCCCCAUUGUGCAAUAUUCCCCACUGCUGCCUCCCGUAGGAGUUUGGGCCGUGUCUCAGUCCCAAUGUGGCCGGCCACCCUCUCAGGUCGGCUACUGAUCGUCGCCUUGGUGGGCCGUUACCCCGCCAACCAGCUAAUCAGACGCGGGUCCAUCUCAUACCACCUCGGUUUUUCACACUGGACCAUGCAGUCCCGUGCGCUUAUGCGGUAUUAGCAGUCAUUUCUAACUGUUAUCCCCCUGUACUGAGGCAGGUUACCCACGCGUUACUCACCCGGUCCGCCGCUAAGUCAGCAAAGCUUCUUCCGAAGAAAUCCACUUACCGCUUCGCUCGACUUGCUAUGUAGUUAGCACGCCGCCCAGCCGUUCAUCCUGACGCCAGGAUACAAACUCU
This 504-nucleotide ribosomal RNA is filed under the name uncultured Lachnospiraceae bacterium. RNAcentral describes it as "partial 16S ribosomal RNA". The record is from RNAcentral. Lineage: Bacteria; Bacillati; Bacillota; Clostridia; Lachnospirales; Lachnospiraceae.